This is a small nuclear RNA of Sciurus vulgaris (Eurasian red squirrel), 106 nucleotides long. NCBI's taxonomy places the organism in Eukaryota, Metazoa, Chordata, Mammalia, Rodentia, Sciuridae. The record is from Ensembl.
GUGCUAGCUUUGGCAACAUAUAUGCUAAAUUGGAAUUAUACAGAAAAUAUUAGCAUGACCCCUGCACAAGGAUGACACACAAAUUUGUGAAGUGUUCCAUAUUUUU